This 369-nucleotide ribosomal RNA is filed under the name Escherichia coli. Its description in RNAcentral is "partial 23S ribosomal RNA". It matches the Rfam family "Bacterial large subunit ribosomal RNA", at positions 1241 to 1612 of the family's 2925-position model. Lineage: Bacteria; Pseudomonadati; Pseudomonadota; Gammaproteobacteria; Enterobacterales; Enterobacteriaceae. The record is from RNAcentral.
CUGUAAGCCUGUGAAGGUGUACUGUGAGGUAUGCUGGAGGUAUCAGAAGUGCGAAUGCUGACAUAAGUAACGAUAAAGCGGGUGAAAAGCCCGCUCGCCGGAAGACCAAGGGUUCCUGUCCAACGUUAAUCGGGGCAGGGUGAGUCGACCCCUAAGGCGAGGCCGAAAGGCGUAGUCGAUGGGAAACAGGUUAAUAUUCCUGUACUUGGUGUUACUGCGAAGGGGGGACGGAGAAGGCUAUGUUGGCCGGGCGACGGUUGUCCCGGUUUAAGCGUGUAGGCUGGUUUUCCAGGCAAAUCCGGAAAAUCAAGGCUGAGGCGUGAUGACGAGGCACUACGGUGCUGAAGCAACAAAUGCCCUGCUUCCAGG